Molecule: ribosomal RNA, 690 nt
Filed under: uncultured Candidatus Tremblayella sp.
Lineage: Bacteria; Pseudomonadati; Pseudomonadota; Betaproteobacteria
Description: bacterial SSU rRNA
Rfam family: Bacterial small subunit ribosomal RNA
Source: RNAcentral
AGUAGCGGUGAAAUGCGUAGAUAUCUGGAGGAAUACCAAAGGCGAAGGCAGUCCCCUGGUCCGAUACUGACACUGAGGUACGAAAGCGUGGGGAGCAAACAGGAUUAGAUACCCUGGUAGUCCACGCCCUAAACGAUGUCGAUUAGCCAUUGGAAGGACCCCUUUUCCUUUCAGUGACGUAGCUAACGCGUUAAAUCGACCGCCUGGGAAGUACGACCGCAAGGUUAAAACUCAAAGGAAUUGACGGGGACCUGAACAAGCGGUGAAUGAUGUGGAUUAAUUCGAUGCUACGCGAAGAACCUUACCUACCUUUGACAUGGCCAAAGUUCUACCGAGAGGCGGAAGUACUCGUAAGAGGAUUGGCGCACAGGUGCUGCAUGGUUGUCGUCAGUUCGUGUCGUGAGAUGUUGGGUUCAGUCCCGCAACGCACGCAACCCUUAUCUUUAAUUGCUCCUAUUUUAACAGGCACUUUAAAGAAACUGCCAAUGAUAAGUUGGAGGAAGGUGGGGAUCACGUCAAGUCCGCAUGGCCUUUAUAGGUAGGGCUUCACACGUCAUACAAUGGUUAGAACAAAGAGCUGCAAAUUCGUAAGAAGGAGCCAAUCUCACAAACCUAACCUCAGUUCGAAUUGCGGUCUGCAACUCGAGCGCAUGAAGCCGGAAUCGCUAGUAAUCGUGGAUCAGAAUGCCA